AGAGGUGGCGAGCGUUGUUCGGAUUUAUUGGGCGUAAAGCGAACGCAGGUGGUUUGGUAAGUCAGGGGUGAAAGCCCACAGCUUAACUGUGGCACUGCCUUUGAUACUGCCUUUCUUGAGUACAUGAGGGGGAAGCGGAAUUCCGAGUGUAGAGGUGAAAUUCGUAGAUAUUCGGAGGAACACCGGUGGCGAAGGCGGCUUCCUGGCAUGUAACUGACACUCAUGUUCGAAAGCGUGGGUAGCAAACAGGAUUAGAUACCCUGGUAGUCCACGCCCUAAACGAUGGGCACUAGGUGUGGGAGGUAUCGACCCCUUCCGUGCCGCAGCUAACGCAUUAAGUGCCCCGCCUGGGGAGUACGGCCGCAAGGUUG
This 371-nucleotide ribosomal RNA is filed under the name uncultured bacterium. RNAcentral's name for it is "bacterial SSU rRNA". It matches the Rfam family "Bacterial small subunit ribosomal RNA", at positions 527 to 896 of the family's 1533-position model. The record is from RNAcentral.